AUGAAUAAACAAAAGAAAACAGUUGUUUUCCUCAUCUCACCUAAGAGAGAAAAAAUAGACCUAAAUGUGGGUGGUAAUUUGAGGAAUGAUCCUGUGAAAAACAUGAAAGAAAGACUGUGUCGGGGAGAGCAAACUGAGAGGCUCAUUAAGUUCAUUCUUACCUUUUCAGUUCUUUCCAACUGGGAAUGUCCCAGUACUUCUCAGAAAAAUAUGACUUCUAGCAGGUCCAAACUCACUCAUUUUCAUGGGAAUCAUCCUUGUGAAUCAAUGGCACUUACUCAACGUCAGUCGAGAUCUUUAGGAGCUGGACCGUUUCCUUUACAAAAAGAUGAAAUCACUAUACAUGUAACAGAGACUGGGUCUCCACCUGGAUUUGGGUUUGUGACUCCAGUAAGGAUCACAGUCGCCCAGAGGCAUUUGGAUCCACCACGGCCUCUCACAAAAGAAGAAAGUGAAAAAGAUGCAACACAAAAAUUGGACUUUAAAGGAUCAUCAGAGGAAAGCCAAAAAGGUUUUGAUAAAAAUCACCAGGAGCAGGUUGAAGAGCAAAAAAACAAGCCUCAACACAAUGAAAUGGAAACACUGGUGGAAGAUAUUGAAGAAAAAUUACCUGAAGAUAAAAUGACUGAAAAAGUUAAUAAGUGGGCAUUUAAUGUAAAGAGUCUUCAGAGCAAUAGAAGUGAAGAGAAUAAAAUUCCUGGGGAAGAAAUUCCAAAAAUGAUCGUUUCUUCUUCCAAUGGAUCUUCAGUACCCCUGCACCAUCAAUCAAUGUGGUUUCCAUUGGGAAUAGAGGAAGAAAAGCAAUUGAAGGCAGAUAUGCCUCUCAAAACAAUCAGAGAACAAAUAAGGAAAAAAGAAAAAUUAUCCAAUAAAGAUAUGGAGAGGAAACGAUCAUUGGAACCACCUAUAGAAGCUUGGGCCAUAGAACCAAGACCAGGAGGAAAUAACUUGACACAGGAAGAAGAGCAAAACAACAAGCCUCGACAAAAUGAAAUGGAAACACUAGUGGAAUAUAUUGGAAAAACAUUACCUGAAGAUGAAAUGACUGUCAAAGAUAAUGAGCUGGAAUUUAAUGUAUGGAAUCAUCAUAGCAAUAAAAGAGUGGAGAAUAAAAUCACUGAGACAGAAACUCCAAAAAUGACUGUUUCUUAUUCCAAGGAAAGUUCAAUACCAGUAUACCAUCAAUCAGUAUUCUUCCCAAUGAGAAAAGAGAAAGAAAAGCAAUUGAGGACAGGAAUGACUCUUAAAGAAAUCAGAGAACAAAGAAAAAGAAGAGAAAAAUUAUAUAGGAACUAUAUGGAGGCGAUGCAGUCAUGGGAAGUGGAUGAACAAUCUUGGUCUAGAGAACCAAAACCAGGAGGAAAUAAUUUGACACAGAACCUACGUGCUGUGGAAGAAACCCCCAAAAUGACCAUUUCUUCUUCCAAGGAAUCUUCAAUAUCUGAGUACCAUCGUUUCAUGUGGUUCCUACUGAGAAAAGAGGAAAAAAAGCAACCGGAGGCAGACAUGCCUCUGAAAACAAUCAGAGAACAAAUAAGGAGAGAAGAAAAAUUAUCUAGUAAAGAAGUGGAGAAGAAACAGUCAUUGGAAGUGGCUGAACAAAAUCAGGCCAGAGAACCAAGACCAGGAGGAAAUAAUUUGACACAGGUUAAAGAGGAAAAGAACAAGUCUAAACACAAUGAAAUGGACACACCACUGGACGGAUUUGGAGAAAAACUACCUGAAGAUAACAUGACUGUCAAUUUUAAUAAGCUGCCAUUUAAUGUAAAGGAUCAUCAUGGCAAUGAAAGUGAGGAGAAUAAAAUCCCUGUGGAAGAAACUCCAAAACUGACUGUUCCUUCUUCCAAGGAAUCUUCAAUACCUGUGCUCCAUCGUUUCAUGAGGUAA
This is a long non-coding RNA of Monodelphis domestica (gray short-tailed opossum), 1887 nucleotides long. Lineage: Eukaryota; Metazoa; Chordata; Mammalia; Didelphimorphia; Didelphidae. The record is from Ensembl.